AUUGAACGCUGGCGGCAGGCCUAACACAUGCAAGUCGAGCGGAUGAAGGGAGCUUGCUCCUGGAUUCAGCGGCGGACGGGUGAGUAAUGCCUAGGAAUCUGCCUGGUAGUGGGGGAUAACGUCCGGAAACGGGCGCUAAUACCGCAUACGUCCUGAGGGAGAAAGUGGGGGAUCUUCGGACCGCACGCUAUCAGAUGAGCCUAGGUCGGAUUAGCUAGUUGGUGGGGUAAAGGCCUACCAAGGCGACGAUCCGUAACUGGUCUGAGAGGAUGAUCAGUCACACUGGAACUGAGACACGGUCCAGACUCCUACGGGAGGCAGCAGUGGGGAAUAUUGGACAAUGGGCGAAAGCCUGAUCCAGCCAUGCCGCGUGUGUGAAGAAGGUCUUCGGAUUGUAAAGCACUUUAAGUUGGGAGGAAGGGCAGUAAGUUGAUACCUUGCUGUUUUGACGUUACCAACAGAAUAAGCACCGGCUAACUUCGUG
RNAcentral lists this ribosomal RNA (484 nucleotides) under uncultured bacterium. RNAcentral describes it as "partial 16S ribosomal RNA". It matches the Rfam family "Bacterial small subunit ribosomal RNA", at positions 30 to 507 of the family's 1533-position model. The record is from RNAcentral.